RNAcentral lists this transfer RNA (69 nucleotides) under Ololygon sp. KAV14. RNAcentral describes it as "tRNA-Val". Lineage: Eukaryota; Metazoa; Chordata; Amphibia; Anura; Hylidae. The record is from RNAcentral.
CAAAAUGUAGCUUAUUUAAAGCUCCUUGCUUACACCAAGAAGAUAUCUAUUAAACCCAGAUCAUUUUGA